GCUGUUUCGAUUUGGAAUAAAAUAUCUUUAGUUAAAUCACCCUAUCCAUAAAUAUUUAAAAGAUGUUUUAUUCAUGGCCACAAGAUAGACUUAUACCAUGAUAAUUCCUAGAAAUUCCUAUUAUUGUUGGGAACUUUAAUAUCGGGACCCCAUAUUACUUAAGUUGUUGUGGAAAGAAAGAUAGUAUGAAUAUGAGAACUUGAUUUCUCAUGCCUAGUCAUUUGGAGAAUUUUUACUUUUCAAAAAUCUUAAAAUGAUUAGCUAUACUUCUCCUCUGUAGCAAGAAUUAAUGUCCUACUAAAGCCAUGCAUGAUAGGUAUAAACUAGCUCAUAGGCUACUUGCUUUGUAUUGAGUUUUGUCAAACCUUAUUGACCUAUGUUGAGAGCAUUAUCAUGCUCCUAAGAUCAAGAUCACAUACACCCACAUAUAUCUGCCAUUCCUCCACUGGGAAUGCACACAAACAUGCCUUUUCAUCCACAAAAAUGUUUUACUCCUACACUGGGAGGAAACACAAAAAGAGCCUUUCUCAAUAUUUUCUGGUUAUAGAAGGAGGUAUGAGGCUAUGAAAAAUAAAAGUAUUCAAAAAAAGAGAGAAAAGAAAGAAGAGAAAAAGGACAAGUGUCCUAGAAAGAAAGAAGAAUAAAAGAUAGCCCAUACCAUCAUGUGCAAAGACCAUCAGUGCUUCAAAUAAAGAAAGACAUUUUUGAAAGAGCAAUGUAGAAUUAGGAUUAGCCACUAUAUAUUCCACACACAUGCACUUCUUGAUCUAUGAGUAUGCUAUUCCCCUCCAUGGAUCUGAGUUUUCAGCAAGAUAUGCAAGGUAAGUAGGCCAUUUCCUUGAAUAACCUUUAAACUCCAUAUAAGCCUGUAGAGUAAGGUAUAUAUGAUGCAUAUAACAUACAUGCUUUGGUGAGUUCCACAAAUACCACAUAUAAUGAGUGAUUUGAGUGUGCUACA
RNAcentral lists this long non-coding RNA (958 nucleotides) under Sorghum bicolor (sorghum). Its description in RNAcentral is "long non-coding RNA (SBIC_LNC009950)". The record is from RNAcentral. Lineage: Eukaryota; Viridiplantae; Streptophyta; Magnoliopsida; Poales; Poaceae.